This 24-nucleotide non-coding RNA is filed under the name Gossypium hirsutum (cotton). The record is from RNAcentral. Lineage: Eukaryota; Viridiplantae; Streptophyta; Magnoliopsida; Malvales; Malvaceae.
AAUAAUUUAACGAGAUUCAGACCA